This 726-nucleotide ribosomal RNA is filed under the name uncultured bacterium. RNAcentral describes it as "bacterial SSU rRNA". It matches the Rfam family "Bacterial small subunit ribosomal RNA", at positions 59 to 774 of the family's 1533-position model. The record is from RNAcentral.
CAGUCGAGGGGCAGCGGGGAGGAAGCUUGCUUUCUCCGCCGGCGACCGGCGCACGUGUGAGUAACACGUAUGCAACCUGCCCCUGUCAGGGGGACAACCCGCCGAAAGGCGGGCUAAACCCGCGUACAUGCCACCGGGGCAUCCCGGAGGCAGGAAAGGCUUCGGCCGGACAGGGAUGGGCAUGCGGCGCAUUAGGCAGUAGGCGGGGUAACGGCCCACCUAACCGACGAUGCGUAGGGGUUCUGAGAGGAAGGUCCCCCACACUGGUACUGAGACACGGACCAGACUCCUACGGGAGGCAGCAGUGAGGAAUAUUGGUCAAUGGUCGGGAGACUGAACCAGCCAAGCCGCGUGAGGGAGGAAGGUACAGAGUAUCGUAAACCUCUUUUGUCAGGGAACAAAGGCGGGGACGUGUCCCCGGAUGAGUGUACCUGAAGAAAAAGCAUCGGCUAACUCCGUGCCAGCAGCCGCGGUAAUACGGAGGAUGCGAGCGUUAUCCGGAUUUAUUGGGUUUAAAGGGUGCGCAGGCGGUCUGUUAAGUCAGCGGUCAAAGCCCGGGGCUCAACCCCGGCCCGCCGUUGAAACUGGCAGUCUCGAGUUGGAGAGAAGUAUGCGGAAUGCGCGGUGUAGCGGUGAAAUGCAUAGAUAUCGCGCAGAACUCCGAUUGCGAAGGCAGCAUGCCGGCUCCACACUGACGCUGAGGCACGAAAGCGUGGGUAUCGAACA